RNA transcript from Salvia splendens (bonfire salvia), 1838 nucleotides. RefSeq lists it as uncharacterized. The record is from RefSeq and is a predicted model, not a curated record. The transcript has 13 exons. NCBI's taxonomy places the organism in Eukaryota, Viridiplantae, Streptophyta, Magnoliopsida, Lamiales, Lamiaceae.
CAAGAAAAAUCAAGAAAAGAGAACAGCAAUUCUGCUUUCUCGAUUCCUUGAUCCAAAGCAGAACAGUAGGAGUGAAGCGAGGAGGAUAAAAAUUAACACUAAAAAAUUUGAUGAGGCUCGCAGCUAUAGUUUCGAGGGUCGUCAGAAAUGGAAUAGGGUCCGUUUUAGCGGUUAAACCACUGCAUCCGCCACCUCCAAAAGUGGUGGCACCGCCGCUCAGACAAUUUUCAGCCACUAGCACGCCCAACCCAGUUGCAGUUGAAAUGAUCAAAUACGCCACCUCUCUUGCCCGCGAUAAGAAAACAGAAGAAUCUUACGCGCAAGGAUUGUUGGUGUUGGAACAGUGCGAAUCAACUCUACCAGAUGAGAAUUCCAAGGGUUUGGUCGAGCUUGCUCGCUCUACCUUAAUGUUUGAGAGAGGGUUCCAUGAGACAGCAAUUGAGGGAUUGGGAAAGCUUCAAGAUUUAAGCUUGUCUUCUCUUGAUAUCAAAGUUGCUGCUUCUGAAGCUCUGGUGGGAAUUUAUCUACAAAUAUAUCGAGAGGAUGCAGCAUCAGCUGUUGCAGAUUUGGCAUUGCAAAUCCUAGGAUCAAUUAGACAUGGAUUAGGUGAUGGGGGUGGCUUUGAGGUUCUAGAAGCCCGAAUCAAAGCUCUGAAAGGUCUGAUCGAGCUCAUAUGCGGUGACACUGAAUCUGCACAGUCAGUCUUUGAGGGAAUACCGGGAGAGGGAUUAUUGAGUGCCAAUGCUGCCCUGUCUUAUGGCGAGUUCCUUCAUGGAACGCUGAAAUUUUCCACUGCAAAGGAGUUGUACCAGAGAGUAAUUCAGGCAAUGUCCGACAUCAAGGAUUUUGGUGAUCCUAACAACCUUGGAGCUUGUAACAUGACACCACGGGAAGUUGCAAUUGCUGCUGGUUGUUCUUUAGGGCAGCUCGAGGCCCAUGUGGGGAAUUUUAGUGAUGCAGAGGAGAUACUGACCACUGCAAUGAAUCAAGUGGAAGAGCACUUUGGCCCUCAACAUCCCAAAAUUGGUGUCGUUCUGACCUGCAUUGCUCUCAUGUAUCGGCUAAAAGCCAUGGCGGAGCGCUCGAGCUUCCUUCUAAUUCAGGAGGGUCUUUUCAGAAGAGCAAUCGAGCUGCUUAAAGCUCCAUCUUUAGAGGGUCAUGGUGUCGAUGGAAACAUUAGCAUGAACGAUAUAAUCGCACUAGCAAGAGGUGGGUAUGCAGAAACGCUUCUUGUGCAACAGUCGAGAAAAGCAGAAGGGGAGAGAUUGAAACAUUGGGCAGAAACUGCUUGGGGAAACCGGUGGAUGUCACUGGGCGAAGCAUUGGAGCUGUCGGAAUCUUCGCCUAAGGUGCCGGUCAUAGAUACUCGGAUAUGCCGUGCGGUUUAGUUUCGUGUACAUAAUAUGAUGCUUAGAUGGUCUUGCCUCUCCUAGACAAAGCAGGCAGCAACACCUAACACUUAAUAUGUGGAGAAAAUGGUUCAUUUGUUGAGGUUUGGUAAUAAGGAGGCAAGCAUGGAGGUCAUAUGAUUCCUAAUUGAGGGUGGAAUGUAAAAUAUAAUGAAGGAUCCGAAUAUGAACCAGGAAAAACAGAGUGGCCCGAAGUCGUCGGACUUGCCUCAGAAGAAGCAGAGAACAAGAUAAAGAGAGAGGCUGUGGUGCCUUCCAAUUCAUUUGUGACAACGCAUGGAUCGGGUUAGAAUCUUCAUAGAUUCCUCCGCCAAAGUUAUUAAACCACCCAGAAUUGGAUAAUACUUGUACUUCAAUAAUAUAUUCAUCACUUUGUACUUGUGCAUUUUCUCAGAUUUCCCAUAAUAGUAGAUAAAUAAUUGGCACGUU